CCGUCACCGAGUGGUCGGGUCCCGGCGCCACCUCGCGCCAGAACCUCAGGCCAGACCACCUGGGGCCGCGCCCAUUAGGGACCCGAGGCAGGGGGAAGUGGAGGGAGGGGACGGGGUGGGGGAUGAGAUGAGGACACAGGGUUUUGGCAUGGUAGCGGAAGCACCCACCCCCCACCUAGCAGCCCAGUUGCAGAAAAGAAAAAAAAAGAACUGGGAGAAGCGGGGGGCGGGGAGGGGGAGAGUGUAGACCCAUCCCCAAGAUAGUCACUCAGCGCCAGUCAAACAGAGACACCCAACUGUCCCCUGGGACGCAUCCACACGACAGUUUCCCAUUCACCGGCAACCCCGUAAACGCCACACACAAACACGGGCCACCCCACACACUCACCGAGGGACAUCACGGCCCCCGGGGACACACAACACAGCCACACAGCUUCACAGCACCAUUCCACAGGGACGCACAGCACAGUCGCCCAGUUACCCAAAGACACACUGUCCCAGAGCCGCACAAUGCUCUAGCACACGCAACACAACACACCCAGCCACGUGGAUGCGCAGACACACACAGACACAAAAAGGAGAGGACCCGACGCCUUUGGGACCCACAGACCCUCGGACUGGAACGGGACCACCCAGCCGCACAGACCCGCGAACGCAUCCCCGAUUCCCAUGCUGACCGUUUGGGAGCACUGGAGCACCCAAACGCACCCCUCGAGUGCGGAUGCCACCGACGCCAGCGGACCGGACACCGGAACCCUCAAGUGCAACCACCGACGCUCACGGGCCUGGGACGCGCGGCACCGAGACCUGAACUUUCUCAGCCAUCAGAUGUCCCUUCUGCAAAACAUCAUCACUACCCUUUGAAUUCUCCGGAGCUCUGGGAAGUUAGCAGCAGCAGGCUCCACACUGGCACCCGUUAGCCCUGUAGAUCCAGGGAGACAGAUCCAGCAGAUCCAGGGUGGCCUGAGACGGAUGGGAAGGGCAUCCCAGGCAGAGGGAACAGUCCAAGCAAAUGUCUGGAGCAGUGAAGCCUGCUGGUGGGAGAGGAGGCUGCAGCCGCUGCCGAGAGGCCCUUGAAGGCUGCAUCUGGUGUCCUUUGAGGAGGCCACCCCUUUUCUGCAAAAUGCGAGGAGGAUGCGGGUGGAAGAUGAACCUCUCCAUUUUCCCUCCCUGCCACCCCACCCCACCCCCAGCUGCCGAGCUCCAGGCCAGAAGUGAGCCCGCCUAGGCUUGGCUCCAAUACCUUCUUCCUGCCAACAGUUCUCUCUCUCCUUUUGAUUCUGUUGGAAAAAAAAAAAAAAAAACCUCCCCCCCCCCCUUCCACCACUGCUGGGAGGAAUUUGACAUGGCAGAGGGCCCAGGUCUCCGCCCUCCCCCACGCUGUCCUCUGCCAAGCACUACGUGGCCAAACUGGGGGACCUUGUGAGGGUGGCACCCCCAUCCUAAGCACAGAGGCACGGAGGAGCUCCUUGCCUCAGUUUCCCUUCUGGGAGGGCAGCAGGGCUGCUCCAGGGCUCAGUUCAGCACCCCACAUCCCUCCCAGCCUAAGACCAUCUGUUUGUUCCUCAUGGAAAACCUCAGCACUGGGGUUACAUUGGCAGAGAGAUUCUGGAGCUAACGGCCGGGCCCCUGGGCCUGAAAUGGAGGAGGAAAGAGCUGGCCUGGGCCUCAGUACGCUGUGAUGGUCCAAGCUGGGCUUCUGGGCUGGGUGGGAGGUGAAGACCCCUACACACAUCUGCAUACGAAGGAACCAGGCGAACACCUUCAGACGCAGGCCAGAACUAAGGCCCAGCCAACUGCUUAGCAAGGCCUGGCCAGGCCAUGGAAGCUUCCCAUAAACACAAACACAGCCACCAGCUCGUUUACUCUGCUUCUAAUUCAGAAAGCAAAUCUAGUGGCUAUCAGCACGAUGAGGAGGCUGAGGGCUGCUCGAUGUGAGUAUGGCUGAGAAAAAUAAAGUUAGGAAGAAAGGGGGAGAGGAAGUGAGGGUCAGGCUUGGAGGGGGGUGCAAUUUUAAGGAGCUGAGACCUGAACGAGGUGAAGGAGGACCCAGGUGGUUCUCUGGGGGGAGAGUGUUCCAGAGGGAACCAGCAUGUGCAAAAGCCUUGAGGCAGGACCAGGCCUGGCAUGUUGGAGGAAUAGGGAGGAGACCCAUGUGCCUGGAGCAGAGUGAGCAAGGAGGAGACAGGGAGGAGGUGAGGGCAGGCAGGGGACAGGGCAGGUUGUGCAGGGUCUCGUGGGCCUGGAGGAAGAUUUGGACUUUUACCCUGAGGCAGGUGGGAGCCCAGGAGGGCUGUGGGCAGAGGAGGGGUGGGACCUGACUCAGGUGCUCACAGGUGCCCUCUGGCCACUGUGGAGGGGACAGACUGUGGGGAACAGAAGCAUGAGCUGGGGGACCAGGACUGGGGGUACUGUCGGGUGAUAUGUCCAGGUUGGCGAUAAUAGGGCCUGGAUCAAAUGAAGGCUGUGCACCUACUAUGUGCCACCACAUCACUGGACCCUUUCUUUACCUUCACAUCAGCUUCAUUGUGUCAUCACUCCCCCCUUGAUGGAUGAGAUUAUAGCCCAGAGAGGAAAAGGAACUUGCCUCACAUCCUAUAAACUUUGCGCGGCACAUCACAUCUUCUCACUGUCUAAAGCCCUCCAGGGCUCCCCAUUGCCUUUGAUGUAAUCCACUCUCCUCCAUGCGUCACACAAGGACCUGGCGGGGAACCUGCCUGACCUGCCGUGUCCCCUCCCUGCCCUCACCUCCUCCCUCUCUCCCCCUCAGUCACUCUGCUGCAGCCACAUGGGCCUCUCCUCACUGCUCCUCUAAUGAACCAGGCAUGGUCCUGCCCCAGGGCUUUUGCACAGGCUGCACCGUUGCCUGAAUGCUCUCCCUCCAAUGUAGCUUUUCCUUAGCUCUGCCAUGUUCAUCUUCACAUCCUCAAUAAAUGUUUAGUGAAUGACUUA
Molecule: long non-coding RNA, 2952 nt
Organism: Rhinolophus ferrumequinum (greater horseshoe bat)
Lineage: Eukaryota; Metazoa; Chordata; Mammalia; Chiroptera; Rhinolophidae
Exons: 3
Source: RefSeq, a predicted model, not a curated record